RNAcentral lists this non-coding RNA (27 nucleotides) under Rattus norvegicus (Norway rat). Lineage: Eukaryota; Metazoa; Chordata; Mammalia; Rodentia; Muridae. The record is from RNAcentral.
UGCAGAGUACUCCUGGGCCAAUCAUUG